GACGAACGCUGGCGGCGUGCCUAAUACAUGCAAGUAGAACGCACAGUUUAUACCGUAGCUUGCUACACCAUAGACUGUGAGUUGCGAACGGGUGAGAAACGCGUAGGUAACCUGCCUGGUAGCGGGGGAUAACUAUUGGAAACGAUAGCUAAUACCGCAUAAUAUUAAUUAUUGCAUGAUAAUUAAUUGAAAGGUGCAAUUGCACCACUACCAGAUGGACCUGCGUUGUAUUAGCUAGUAGGUGAGGUAACGGCUCACCUAGGCGACGAUACAUAGCCGACCUGAGAGGGUGAUCGGCCACACUGGGACUGAGACACGGCCCAGACUCCUACGGGAGGCAGCAGUAGGGAAUCUUCGGCAAUGGACGAAAGUCUGACCGAGCAACGCCGCGUGAGUGAAGAAGGUUUUCGGAUCGUAAAGCUCUGUUGUAAGAGAAGAACGGGUGUGAGAGUGGAAAGUUCACACUGUGACGGUAUCUGACCAGAAAGGGACGGCUAACUACGUG
RNAcentral lists this ribosomal RNA (505 nucleotides) under uncultured bacterium. Its description in RNAcentral is "partial 16S ribosomal RNA". It matches the Rfam family "Bacterial small subunit ribosomal RNA", at positions 28 to 507 of the family's 1533-position model. The record is from RNAcentral.